RNAcentral lists this unclassified non-coding RNA (218 nucleotides) under Hevea brasiliensis (rubber tree). Lineage: Eukaryota; Viridiplantae; Streptophyta; Magnoliopsida; Malpighiales; Euphorbiaceae. The record is from RNAcentral.
AAGAUGGGUGAAGGCACCUUUGGUCAGGUUUUGGAAUGCUGGGACAAAGAAAGAAAGGAGAUGGUUGCAAUCAAAAUAGUCCGUGGGAUUAAGAAGUAUCGUGAAGCAGCUAUGAUAGAGAUUGAAGUGCUGCAACAGCUUGGUAAACAUGAUAAGGGUGGCAAUCGUUGUGUGCAAAUACGGAACUGGUUUGACUAUCGUAAUCAUAUCUGUAUUGU